GGAUGAACGCUGGCGGUCUGCUUAAACACAUGCAAAGUCGAAACGGACCCUUCGGGGUUAGUGGCGGACGGGUGAGUAACGCGUGAGAAUCUGCCUUCAGGUCUGGGACAACAGAAGGAAACUUCUGCUAAUCCGGGAUGAGCCUUUUAGGUAAAAGAUAAAAUUGCCUGGAGAUGAGCUCGCGUCUGAUUAGCUAGUUGGUGUGGUAAAAAGCAUACCAAGGCAACGAUCAGUAGCUGGUCUGAGAGGAUGAGCAGCCACACUGGGACUGAGACACGG
This 279-nucleotide ribosomal RNA is filed under the name uncultured cyanobacterium. RNAcentral describes it as "partial 16S ribosomal RNA". It matches the Rfam family "Bacterial small subunit ribosomal RNA", at positions 27 to 329 of the family's 1533-position model. The record is from RNAcentral. Lineage: Bacteria; Bacillati; Cyanobacteriota.